Molecule: ribosomal RNA, 433 nt
Filed under: uncultured bacterium
Lineage: Bacteria
Description: partial 16S ribosomal RNA
Rfam family: Bacterial small subunit ribosomal RNA
Source: RNAcentral
AGCGAACGCUGGCGGCAGGCCUAACACAUGCAGGUCGAACGGAUCCUUCGGGAUUAGUGGCGGACGGGUGAGUAACACGUGGGAACGUGCCCUUUGGUUCGGAACAACUCAGGGAAACUUGAGCUAAUACCGGAUGUGCCCUUCGGGGGAAAGAUUUAUCGCCAUUGGAGCGGCCCGCGUCUGAUUAGCUAGUUGGUGAGGUAACGGCCCACCAAGGCGACGAUCAGUAGCUGGUCUGAGAGGAUGAUCAGCCACACUGGGACUGAGACACGGCCCAGACUCCUACGGGAGGCAGCAGUGGGGAAUCUUGCGCAAUGGGCGAAGGCCUGACGCAGCCAUGCCGCGUGAAUGAUGAAGGUCUUAGGAUUGUAAAAUUCUUUCAGCGGGGACGAUAAUGACGGUACCCGCAGAAGAAGCUCCGGCUAACUUCGUG